UGCGGAUUUACGGAUUUCUGCGGAUUUACAGAAGUAAAUCCAUAUCCAAUCCAUUGACUGCGGAUUUUUAAAUUUUCAAUCCAUAUCUAAUCCACCAAUCCACGGAUCGGAUUUAUACGAAUCAGAUUGAGCGGAUCGGACGAAUUGAGCGGAUCGGAUUGGAUUCUGAACUCCCCUAGUGUGAACUAACUUUUAUGUUUAUCUAAACACCUUAAAUUUAAGGCAAAUUAUGGCAUAAAUAAGAAUUAUAACAGAACACUUAUGAUGUAUAGCAAAAGAGUUGUGAUGAAGAUCUUGAAGAAAUAUAAUAUUAGCGCCGAGUUAAGUAACUAAGAACACCCCUGAACUGAAUAAUGGUCAUCAAAAUUGUGUUACUUGCACUUCUAUUUACUAAAAGUUUGGUUAUGUUCCAUUUGAGUUUUUAUCUUCAAAUUUCAAAAUCUUGCUAAGUUUUGACAAUCACAAAGGCUCAGUUUGCUUGUUCUAUAUUUGUAUGAUACGAAUCCAAAUUUUUGUGAUCUAUUUCCUCAAUUUUGAAUACAAAUUCUUUUCUUCUCCUGCGAACCAGAAAGAAAUGUUGUAUUAAAAAAAUGGAAAUAACUUCAUGACAACAAAAAUUAGGAAAAAUAAUAUAAACCAAAUUAGGAUAAAUAAUAUCAUUUUCUAGAGAAGCAGGCAAAAAUGGAAAAUGAUAUUUCAAUUCUUCAAGAUCCCAAAUCUCUGUUUCUAAAUUUUCUUUCAUUUUGCUUCUCGCAUAGAAUCAUUUGGUAUUAAUAAAAUUUUUACUUAUUAAACAAAAGUUAAAAAAAAAAAUUCUAUUCCUGCUGUUAAUCUAUGAAUGGUUUCAUUGUUGGAGUUUCUUUCAGAAGACAAGAAUACUUUGGUUAAGUGUUUGGCUAAGUACUAAAUUAGAGGUUGUUAGAGAGAAGAAAUUAAAAAAAAAAUCCUAACCCUUUAUUCAGUGUUUAAUCAGCAAAUAUUCAACUCAACAUGAAUCUUAAUCAUCUUUAAAAAAAUAUUUUAUUCAAUUUUCUAAUAAUAUUUAUGCAGGUACUAGAAGUUAAAACCCUACUUACAUGGAUGCGUGGCCAUCGGUCCAAUUUUUUUUUAAAAAAAAAAAAAGAGAAAAAAAAUGUAAUCCAUGAAUUUGGUUAAUUUUCCUUUGUUUGUUUCUUUCUGUUCUUCCCCCCCUCUCAAUAUCAUUCCUUUUUGGCAGCCUAAGGACAUUUUCACAAAUACCUUUUGUGCAGAAGUCUUUUAAACCAUCAAUCAGAAGAAACAUGCUUCCAGUGAUACCUCCAAUUAUCAUUGAUGAUGUUAAGUAAAUAAGGGCACCAGCUCAGCCAUGCCAUCAUCCCCACCCCGGGAUGGAUCACCUCAGCCGAAUGGUACGAGCAGAAUACUGAUAAUGAGCCUUCUACAAACAUGGGCCGACCAGAGACAUAUACCGAGCAGAUACCCAUUCCCCAAAAAGCGGGAACACAAUCUCACGAAAUCACGGCAGUUGCGCUUUUCCCAAAAUCAUUGAGGGAGACACGGUGUCCCACGUUUACCCACAAUGUAGCAGUUGGAGUCCCAUGAGGGGCUGCCACUACCCGAGAAAGGGGGGAUGAAGGGUGAACGGAAACGUGGGACAACAGCUAUAAAAGAGGAAGAAACCAAUGAAGAGGAGGAGAAAAAACAGAGAGAGAAGGGAAAACUCUGUCAAAUUAAAACUAGACUGUUGUUCUGCAGAAACUGAGAGUGAGUCGUAAGCCAUUCCGAAAUCUAAAUUAAACCAUUUUCCCGUAAACACCUUGUGCUAACUUAGGCAUCGGAGGGUUUACGCCGGUAAAACUACCGGCGUCUCUGAUUCAUUUUUGUGAAUGCAGGCUUAGCAAGAUAAAAAGGGGUGAUUCCAACCCAGUGACGUAAGCGAUCGUUAAGGCAAGGAGAAAGUGACAUCGUUCCCAUUAAGCAUAUAAGCGUUGGUGGAAGAAUCUGGUCGGGUAAAGGGUGAGCAGAUUUCAGCAUCAACAUUUUGGCGCCGUCUGUGGGGAGCUGGAUAAAAAGCUACCACCAAAUUAGUAGUCAUCGGAGAAGCAGCGAACAAUCGAUUAUGGAUAUAUCAAGGAAGGAUGCCCUAGGUGGCGACAAUGAAACUGGUGAAACAAUCACUCUCCGAGAGAUAGCAAAUGAAGCUAGAGAGAGGAUGAUGCAAGAUCGAAUGGAACGGAUGGAGAAACAAAUGGAAACUCUCACGACCAUAUUGCAUGAGCUGAGGGAUGAGCAGAGAAGGGACUAUGAAACCCCCGUAGGGAGGGAUGAAGUUGAGGCAGAACCCAGCCUCCGGAGGCGUAGAGUCAAGGAAAUCCCUCCACCAGUAGACCAACCCUAUGGGGUGCAUCCCCAUAGAAAUAUUGGUAGGGUUCCAGUAGAGCGCGUAGAUGAAGGGAGAGACCAACCUCGCUCCGGACGAGUACUGGAAAUUGAUGGCCGAUGAGCCAAUGUUGAUGAGGGAGAGCUUAGACAGCGGUUGCAAAAUGCCGAGCAGGAGCGAGAUCAGAUAGCUGCGCGCGAUCCGGACCGUGCUGUAGAAUUGGAGGGUGAGGUGCGCAGAUUGGCGCAGGUGAUGGAGGAGAUUCAGGGCAAGAGAAAGCCCCCGAGUUGGAGGAUAAUGAUAGAUGAAGAGUCUCCGUUAUCAGCCGAGAUCAUGGGUACUUUAAUCCCAAGAGAUUUCCGCUUCCCCGACCUCAAAUACUCCGGGCGAAGUGACCCACUGGUGGAUAUUGAACGCUUCAACGACAUGACGGGUGUGCAGGAACUAACACCAGCUCAGAGGUGCAGGGUGUUCCCAUUGACACUAGAGGGAUGAGCCCAACAAUGGUACCGCAAGCUGCCACGAGGAAGUAUAAAAGGAUACGAGCAGAUGUGCCAAGAGUUGGCCGAGCAGUUCCGAGGAGCAGUAGCCCCAGAGGACGAUACGAUGGAACUGAUAGGGAUGAAGCAGAAGGAACAUGAAUCCCUUCGGGAAUUUGUAAAAUGAUACCACCGGGCCGUGCUUGAUCUGGGAGCUUUCAAUCACCCAUAGGCGUUGAGGGGAUUAAAAGAGGGCGUGAGGAUAGGCCGACUAUGGUACAACUUGAGAAGCCCCCUAGUGCAGAAUUAUUCGGCGGGGUAUGAGCAGGAGAGGAGAGAUAUAGAAAUCGAAGAGGAGAAAUCGGCGAGGAUAAAAAGUGAACAGCUGGAAGAGCUGAGACGAAAGGAAAGGAGAACCCCGAACAGGAGCGGGUCGGGAAAGCGAGCUGGGGAAUCCUCGGUGACGGGCGCAAUAUCAGCUCGGUCUUGCCCUUACCCCAUGGUUCAGAGACCGCAACAGUUCCAACACAGCCGAGCUCCACCUUCGCGCCCCCCAUUCCCGGAGCGGCAACGAGAAUUCCGGCAGUUAGCUGCCCAUCUUUAUCACAACGCCCCCAGGGCACUACAUACAGCCAACUCUAGAGCUGGGCGACCAGGUCAGCUACCUAUAAUAUCAGCUUGGGACGAUAUCCAUGAUAGCCGAGCAGUCCAGCUAAUCGACCAGAGCCUGGCAUAUAGACAAUACACCCCAUUAAAAGUCCCUAUGGAGGAGUUGUACGAGAGGAUCGAGGGACGAGGCCUGCUGUACCCUCCAGCCCUUAUAACAAAACCUGCUCACCGACGUGAUAAGAGCAUAUUCUGUAAAUUCCACGACACUCAUGGUUACACUAUCAGCCAAUGUCGCGACCUAAAGAUUCAGGUGGAGGAUUUGGUGAGGAACCGGUACCUGGAUGAAUACGUAGAUGGAGUGUCCUCCGUCAUUGAAUCACAGUACAUGCGGGAUGAAGGAGUUGAGAGGAGCCUGGAACGUGAACAGCCAACUAUCCGUGUGAUAGCAGGAGGGCCAACAUUGGCUGGGGAUUCGAACCGGGCACGGAAGAACUAUGGGAGAUACGCCAUGACAUGCAAAAAAGUGCUUUUCAAUUUGCCAGCAGCCAAGAGGGCGAAAGUGAGGCAAAUUCCCAUUAUGUGGACAGAUGACGCCGAAGUGGGUAUCUUAUAUCCUCAUGAGGAUGCACUAAUGAUUAAGGCAAUGGUGGCUGGCACAGAAUUACGGUGAAUACUGGUGGACACGGGUAACUCGGUUGACAUACUGUUUAAGUCGGCCCUAAAUGAUAUGGGAAUUUCAGACUUAAAACUAGAGCGAACGAAUACAUCCUUGAAGGGAUUUGGAGGAGGACGGUUAACCCCCAUUGAUCGCGGGGUCGCUUGCCACAAGUUGGCAAUCAGGAAAGGGGUAAGGCCGGUGAUGCAGAAAAGGAGGUGCUUUAACCAGGAAAGGUACGAGGCCAUAAAUGCCGAGGUGGAAAAGCUGUUGAAAGCAGGAUUUAUAAGGGAGGCCAAGUACCCGGAGUGGAUUUCCAAUGUAGUACUGGUAAAGAAGGCCAACGGGAAAUGGAGAAUGCGUGUGGAUUUCACAGACCUUAAUAAGGCAUGCCCGAAGGACAGUUUUCCCCUACCAAAAAUAGAUCAAUUGGUGGACUCAACAGCGGGUCACAGUCUGCUCAGCUUCAUGGAUGCCUUUUCGGGAUACAACCAGAUACCCAUAGACGAGCAGGAUGAGGAAAGCACCACCUUUAUAACUAACAUGGGUUUGUUUUGCUACAGGGUAAUGCCUUUUGGCCUGAAAAAUGCCGGAGCUACCUAUUAAAGGUUGGUGAACAAGAUUUUCAAGCCAUUGAUCGGCCACACUAUGGAGGUAUAUGUGGACGAUAUGAUCACAAAGUCUAAAGAACCGAGGGAUCAUGUGAAGCACUUGGAAGAGACCUUUGAACUGCUGAGGAAGUAUGAAAUGAAGCUGAACCCGGAGAAAUGUGCAUUUGGGGUCAGCUCAGGCAAAUUUUUGGGAUUCCUGGUGAGCCACCGAGGGAUCGAGGCCAACCCGGAAAAGAUACGGGCGGUAACAGAAAUGAGGUCCCCACGAACAGUUAAGGAGGCGCAGAACCUUACAGGGAAAUUGGCAGCAUUGAACCGAUUCAUCUCACGGGCCACAGAUAAAUGCCACCCUUUCUUCCAAACCAUAAAGAAAGGGAGAAAGAUGGAGUGGACGUCAGAAUGUGAGGAGGCGUUCGGGCAGCUGAAGGAAUAUCUGGCCCGCGCCCCGUUACUAUCAACUCCAAGAGAAGGUGACCAGCUGUUUUUGUACUUAGCAAUCUCAAAAUGGGCUACCAGCUCGGUAUUAGUCAGAGAAGAAGAAGGAAAGCAACACCCCGUAUACUACACUAGCAAGGCCCUGGUAGACGCAGAAACCAGGUAUCCGCUGAUGGAGAAAUGGGCACUAGCUCUAAUAACAGCAGCACGCAAACUUCGACCAUAUUUUCAGGCCCACCCGAUAGUUGUGAUGACUGACCAGCCUCUUCGGCAAAUGCUCCAAAAACCAGAUGCAUCGGGUCGGUUAGUAAAGUGGUCCGUGGAGCUGAGCGAAUUCGACCUAUUCUAUAGGCUCCGAGGAGCAAUCAAAGCCCAAGCUCUGGCCGAUUUUAUGGUUGACCGUGUCGAGUCAGGGGAAGAAGUUCAGGAGGAGCAACUAGUGGAACAGGAGAAUCCGAAGGGGGUGUGGAUGGUAAUGGUUGAUGGGUCACGUAGUGAACAAGGAUCCGAAGCAGGAAUCGUAAUAUGAAGUCCAGAAGGGAUCGAGAUAUCCUAUGCAGUGAAGUUUGAAUUUCAGCUCACGAACAACCAAGCUGAAUACGAAGCCUUCAUCAUUGGGCUCGGGAUCGCACAUGCACUACGAGCAGAAAAUGUAGAAAUCCGAGCAGAUUCCCAAUUAGUCUGUAAUCAGCUCAGUGAUCAAUUCCAAGUAAGAGAAGAAAAGAUGGGGCUUUAUUUGAAGAAGGCAAAGCAAAUGGUCGGGCUCUUCCAAGAGGUAGAGAUAAAGCAGAUAUUCCGAAACGAGAAUUACCGAGCGGACAUGUUGGCCAGAAUGGCCGCAGUUGUGGAUCCAAAGUUAUCCAAGUCAGUUCCACCUGAUCCCUCUGCUCUUUGUCCCCCUGGUCGGACUCAGCCAUAUAUUUCUGCACUCCAGCCUCCAGCUUGCUCAUAUUAAGCACAAAUAUGAUGCACUUAUAGCAGAAAGUAACCCCAGAGUUAUACUCUGCAUCCAGCCGAUCAUCCACAUCAGCAAAUUUGCCUUUCACCUCGGCCAACUGCUCACUCAGAGAUUUGAUUUCUCCCUCAAGGGUCGUCUUCAAGGUAUCUCGCUCACUUUGGGUGGCCUGAAGAUCAGACUUCAGAUCACCUAACUCACCCUCGAGCUUGGUGGUGGUGGACUCAGCCAUGGCCACUUUCUCCUCCAGGUCCAUGAUUUGCUUGUGCAGAUCAAGCAACUUUUCCUUCGAGCAGUCAGCAGACUCAACAUUUUUCUUCAAGUCCUGGUUGUCAUCUUGAAGCUUCCUCUCAUGGCGCAUGGACCUAUUCUUGUAGCACGAAACCAGGGUGGCUAGCUUAAAGGAGACCAUUUAAACGGAACCAGCUAACUCGGCGAGGUUCAUACUCUCGAUGUCCUUCACCAUCUUGGGUCCCACCGAUUUACCGUAAUCCCUCUGGUACGGGCUCAGGUAAUCACCUUGAUCCCGAGAUGGAAGAGGAAAGGAUCGGUUCCCGGACUGAAUGCUGACCUCAUGACUCUUAUCACUCACCUUCUCCCCACCAUUUUUCCGAGGUGGAGGAGGGGGCAGAGCGGGAACAUAAGCCUUGGGUGAACCAGUAUGGGCCUUUUUCGGAGGAGGAGGAAGGUUGUUGGAGCUGCUUGUACCCCAACCACGCUUUUUGGUCAUGGCGCUGAGGAUCUUGUUAUCCAUUCCGGCAGCUACGUCCACUAAACGCAAACCGACCAGAUUUGUUGAUGACAAGAGAUCUUGGCAGGUAGACGCGUUCACCAAAGCAGUCUCCACAUGGAGCAAGGGUCUGUCUUCAAGCUCCUUGAUCAAACCCCACGACUCUGAAAGAGCAAACAAGGUUAAAGAACCCAAUAAGUGACGAUUGGAGAAAAGAAAAUAGGCAAUAAAUAAACGACCUGGGGUGACAAAGCGCGUUGGAAGGUGAAUAUCACCACCAAGCGAAUGGGCUGCUGGACACCAAUUUCCUCCAGCAAAUAAGAAUUUUUUCUUCCAAUUUUUACAUGAGGAAAUAAAUCUGGUGAUCGGCUUCCUCUUUGCAGAGCUUGACAUGAAGUAGUACUAGCCUGCUUCUUUUGGGCUACUCCGCAGCUGGUACAAAUGCUUUACCUCAACAAGGGAGGGUUCCUCUGAUCCGCACCUCUCCCAUAGCACAUACAUAGCUGAGAGAACUCUCCACCCAUUUGGGUGUAGCUGACCUGGAGCCAGGUGCAUACCACCCAAUAUCUUGGCAAAAUAACGCUGAAGGGGCAACCGAGCUCCUAAUUUGAAACUCUCCAGAUGCAUCGUCACAUACCCCCUCGGAGGUCGGCUAGGAACGUCAUCUUUCCCGGGGAUUACAAGGAGAACCUCUUCAGGUAUGUUAUAGAGGGUUCUAAGCUUGAGCAGGUCAGUUGGGGUGGUAGCACAAGCUAUAUAGUCGAUAGGGUAAGAAUCUGCCUCCACUCUAUGGCAAAGGUUUCUCUACUUAGGGGGUCUGCUCGGCUCAGAACUGCUCCCCUCACCAUCACCCACUUCUUCAAGGACCCCAGCCCCACCAGAACUAUGGUUCUCACCAGAGCCCGAUGCGGGUCCACCUCGGUUUCCUACAAGCUCUAAUUCAGGGGAAGGAGAAGUGACCAUAGGACGAGGGUAUUCAGGAGUAUCCCUGUAAUAGGAGGGACCUACAUUGCGAGAAGCGUAUAGAGGAUCACUGGGUCCAAACAGAUGGGGAUAGGAAUCCUCUAUCUCUUCAUCACUCUCAUCUACAAUUAUUUUUCCCUUCCGGUUUGACAUAUUGAAGUUUAAAAAGGGAAAGCACAAAAUAUCCAAAUGUAUGGGUACAAAAAAGGGACAAAUACAGAACCCACAAUACAAAACCCAAUCAACAACAACCAGAGAAGGGGUUAAAGGCUAUACCUGGAAUAGGCUGGCACGGAUAGCGCUGUCGUGACAAAGAAAGAACCCAGCAAGUGGAGGCUCCGGAUGCGGGAAGUGUGAGCAAAGUUCAAAGAAGGAGUUGGCUUACGGAGGAGAGACGAAUAAUAAAACGAUGAUGAUUCAGUCUAGGGAUUUGAAACGAAAAGGGGAAAAUGGAAGCGGGAUGCCAGCUCACUCACCAUAUAUCGAGGAUGGAUAGCCUGUCGUUUUAAAUUUCAAAUACGAAGAGUCGGGAAGCGCCACGUCACUAACCGUCAUAAGAGGCCUGACGAGACGUACGCCCAAGUAUAUACUAGAUAUAUUCAUGAAGGCCCAUACUCGGGCCAAAAUCUCCUUAGACAAGAAAUGGAACCUCCGAUCCACCACAAUAAUGCGAGGACCAGAUGGGUAGUUCCCAGGAUCGGUAAAAUCCGAUUAUCAGUUUCUACUCUCAACUCAUUUCACUCGCAAGACCAGAAACUAGGGGACUGGUGUUAAGUAAAUAAGGGCACCAGCUCAGCCAUGCCAUCAUCCCCACCCCGGGGUGGAUCACCUCAGCCGAAUGGUACGAGCAGAAUACUGAUAAUGAGCCUUCUACAAACAUGGGCCGACCAGAGACAUAUACCGAGCAGAUACCCAUUCCCCAAAAAACGGGAACACAAUCUCACGAAAUCACGACAGUUGCGCUUUUCCCAGAACCAUUGAGGGAGACACGGUGUCCCACGUUUACCCACAAUGUAGCAGUUGGAGUCCCAUGAGGGGCUGCCACUACCCGAGAAAGGGGGGAUGAAGGGUGAACGAAAACGUGGGACAACGGCUAUAAAAGAGGAAGAAACCAAUGAAGAGGAGGAGAAAAAACAGAGAGAGAAGGGAAAACUCUGCCAAAUUAAAACUAGACUGUUGUUCUGCAGAAACUGAGAGUGAGUCGUAAGCCAUUCCGAAAUCUAAAUUGAACCGUUUUCCUGUAAACACCUUGUGCUAACUUAGGCAUCGGAGGGUUUACGCCGGUAAAACUACCGGCGUCUCUGAUCCAUUUUUGUGAACGCAAGCUUAGCAAGAUAAAAAAGGGUGAUUCCAACCCAGUGACGUAAGCGAUCGUUAAGGCAAGGAGAAAGUGAUAUCGUUCCCAUUAAGCAUAUAAGCGUUGGUGGAAGAAUCUGGUCGGGUAAAGGGCGAGCAGAUUUCAGCAUCAACAGGGGAAAAAGUCUAAAUAGUAUUUUUGACCUCCUACUUUAACUAAAUAACAUUUCUUGAAAGUCACUGGCUCUUAAAAUUUAAUUAAGAAGAUAUUAUAGAUUUAUAAACCCUUAAAAUUUAUUUGCAAGUAACAAUUAGAGAAAAGUCGUCAUGCCCAUACGACUUACUAAAAGUCGUCAACUCGUCAUGACCAAAAUUCUUCCGAGUGUGAAAUACGGCAUUAUGCAGAUGCAUUAAAAACAAAAGCCAGCUAAGAUAUUCUUUGUAUACUUGCAUUCCCUAUCAUCUUAUUAAUAAUUUCAGACACGUCGUUCGUUCCCUGUGACUUUUCAUAUGAAAAAGCACAGUCAGUGUUACAAUUUACAUUUCGAAUUGGGUGUCAUCUAUAUACUCUAGCUAGAUCUAACAUGAUAUUGCAGUAUUGCACUGAUUUUUUUGUCGCAGAGUUUCUCUAUGAAUGCCUAAAAGUUAAAGACACGUCAUGGAAUAAUUAUUUUCUUAAAGACCAAAUUAACAUAAUUCUUGACUCAUUUAUAAAACAACAUUUAUCAUAUAACAGCUCAUAUAUGAAUCAAUUACCUUGAGCAGUAGCAAACAAACAAGAAUCUCAACCACAUCACGAGAUCGCCCACGUACUGUUAUCCAAAACAACAUUGUUAUAAUUAUCAUAAUCCCUUCUGACCUUAACAAUAAUUCUAUUCGUCCUUUCAUAGGUAUAAGUAUCCCAAAAUAUACCUGAUGUCAACCUUUACAAUUCUUUAGAGAAUUGCAGCAGACCAAAAGAAAGAUUUUAAUAAUUUGUAUGCAAAACUGAAAUCAUACAGUAAUUGAUACAGUGAGAAUAGACAUGCUGGGAAUUAGUAUAUAUGAAUAUCUUAAUAAUUUAAAAGUUUCUUAAACUGAUUUUACAUAUCUGAAAAAUUAUAGAAAUCGGAACAGCUGCAGAAAUCAUAAUUUUCCAGCGAAUGUGUUACAAAUUCGGAAAUUCAUAAGUAAUUAAAUUCUUGGGAUCACAUAAUAAUUCAAUAGAAAGCUUAAGAUGUCUAGUUUAUAAAAUGAGAUGUAUGGAAUUUUUUUUUUUCAAUGAUAUGUAUGGAAUUUAAGAGAUUCAGCAGUACUUUCAUUAUAUUAAUUCUUCAAAAAAUCAUGUUGCAAACAAUCACCAAUCUAACAUUCAACAAAAUUAAGUCGUAAAAAUCAUGUGGUUUAUUAAAAGAAUUACCUCAAACAGAUUAGCCUUCCCCUUUCAAAAGCAGCGUGAAACUCCAAAAACUCUUCUUCCAUAACCCAUUCAAACAUGAAGAAACAAAUUAGUAUCUCUUCUUUAAAUGCGCGAUGUGUGUGCCCUGUUUUCUCUCUUAUUCUUUUUCUUUUUUAGAUUUUGAAAAUGCAAAGAAUGCAGGAGUCCUUAUUUUCUUAAACAAGACUCAAUUAAAUUAAAUUAUGGCCUAAUGCUGUGUCAAUUCCAUCAUCAGUAUUUUUUUUUUCCUUGUAACAUAAUCCAUAUUUGGACAAUUUGAA
Molecule: long non-coding RNA, 10790 nt
Filed under: Citrus maxima (pomelo)
Lineage: Eukaryota; Viridiplantae; Streptophyta; Magnoliopsida; Sapindales; Rutaceae
Description: long non-coding RNA (CMAX_LNC000237)
Source: RNAcentral